GCCUAGCCGUAAGCUUUAAUUUACCCCCCCCCCCUCGCCCAGGAACUACGAGCAAAGCUUAAAACCCAAGGGACUUGACGGUACCCCAAAUACACCUAGAGGAGCCUGUCCUAUAAUCGAUAACCCCCGUUUUACCUCACCCCUUCUUGUUUUCAGCCUGUAUACCUCCGUCGUCAGCUUACCACGUGAGCGCCAAUUAGUGAGCUUAAUGCCCCUACGCCAACACGUCAGGUCAAGGUGCAGCAUAUGAAGCGGAAAGAGAUGGGCUACACUGUCUACUUUAGACCACACGAAAGACUAUAUAUGAAACCUAGUCGGAAGGCGGAUUUAGAAGUAAAAGAAAAGUAGCGUGCUUUAUUUAACUUAGGCCCUGGGGUGUGUACACACCGCCCGUCACCCUCUUCGAAGAUUCAACGUAAGUUCUUGACACAAUUGAGCUUCCCAGAAGAGGCAAGUCGUAACAUGGUAAGUAUACCGGAAGGUGUGCUUGGAAA
This 494-nucleotide ribosomal RNA is filed under the name Dendropsophus bifurcus (Upper Amazon treefrog). RNAcentral describes it as "partial 12S ribosomal RNA". It matches the Rfam family "Bacterial small subunit ribosomal RNA", at positions 794 to 1522 of the family's 1533-position model. The record is from RNAcentral. Lineage: Eukaryota; Metazoa; Chordata; Amphibia; Anura; Hylidae.